GGGUUGUGAGGUUAAGCGACUAAGCGUACACGGUGGAUGCCCUGGCAGUCAGAGGCGAUGAAGGACGUGCUAAUCUGCGAUAAGCGUCGGUAAGGUGAUAUGAACCGUUAUAACCGGCGAUUUCCGAAUGGGGAAACCCAGUGUGUUUCGACACACUAUCAUUAACUGAAUCCAUAGGUUAAUGAGGCGAACCGGGGGAACUGAAACAUCUAAGUACCCCGAGGAAAAGAAAUCAACCGAGAUUCCCCCAGUAGCGGCGAGCGAACGGGGAGCAGCCCAGAGCCUGAAUCAGUAUGUGUGUUAGUGGAAGCGUCUGGAAAGGCGCGCGAUACAGGGUGACAGCCCCGUACACAAAAAUGCACAUGCUGUGAGCUCGAUGAGUAGGGCGGGACACGUGGUAUCCUGUCUGAAUAUGGGGGGACCAUCCUCCAAGGCUAAAUACUCCUGACUGACCGAUAGUGAACCAGUACCGUGAGGGAAAGGCGAAAAGAACCCCGGCGAGGGGAGUGAAAAAGAACCUGAAACCGUGUACGUACAAGCAGUGGGAGCACGCUUAGGCGUGUGACUGCGUACCUUUUGUAUAAUGGGUCAGCGACUUAUAUUCUGUAGCAAGGUUAACCGAAUAGGGGAGCCGAAGGGAAACCGAGUCUUAACUGGGCGUUAAGUUGCAGGGUAUAGACCCGAAACCCGGUGAUCUAGCCAUGGGCAGGUUGAAGGUUGGGUAACACUAACUGGAGGACCGAACCGACUAAUGUUGAAAAAUUAGCGGAUGACUUGUGGCUGGGGGUGAAAGGCCAAUCAAACCGGGAGAUAGCUGGUUCUCCCCGAAAGCUAUUUAGGUAGCGCCUCGUGAAUUCAUCUCCGGGGGUAGAGCACUGUUUCGGCAAGGGGGUCAUCCCGACUUACCAACCCGAUGCAAACUGCGAAUACCGGAGAAUGUUAUCACGGGAGACACACGGCGGGUGCUAACGUCCGUCGUGAAGAGGGAAACAACCCAGACCGCCAGCUAAGGUCCCAAAGUCAUGGUUAAGUGGGAAACGAUGUGGGAAGGCCCAGACAGCCAGGAUGUUGGCUUAGAAGCAGCCAUCAUUUAAAGAAAGCGUAAUAGCUCACUGGUCGAGUCGGCCUGCGCGGAAGAUGUAACGGGGCUAAACCAUGCACCGAAGCUGCGGCAGCGACGCUGAUGCGUUGUUGGGUAGGGGAGCGUUCUGUAAGCCUGCGAAGGUGUGCUGUGAGGCAUGCUGGAGGUAUCAGAAGUGCGAAUGCUGACAUAAGUAACGAUAAAGCGGGUGAAAAGCCCGCUCGCCGGAAGACCAAGGGUUCCUGUCCAACGUUAAUCGGGGCAGGGUGAGUCGACCCCUAAGGCGAGGCCGAAAGGCGUAGUCGAUGGGAAACAGGUUAAUAUUCCUGUACUUGGUGUUACUGCGAAGGGGGGACGGAGAAGGCUAUGUUGGCCGGGCGACGGUUGUCCCGGUUUAAGCGUGUAGGCUGGUUUUCCAGGCAAAUCCGGAAAAUCAAGGCUGAGGCGUGAUGACGAGGCACUGCGGUGCUGAAGCAACAAAUGCCCUGCUUCCAGGAAAAGCCUCUAAGCAUCAGGUAACAUCAAAUCGUACCCCAAACCGACACAGGUGGUCAGGUAGAGAAUACCAAGGCGCUUGAGAGAACUCGGGUGAAGGAACUAGGCAAAAUGGUGCCGUAACUUCGGGAGAAGGCACGCUGAUAUGUAGGUGAAGUCCCUCGCGGAUGGAGCUGAAAUCAGUCGAAGAUACCAGCUGGCUGCAACUGUUUAUUAAAAACACAGCACUGUGCAAACACGAAAGUGGACGUAUACGGUGUGACGCCUGCCCGGUGCCGGAAGGUUAAUUGAUGGGGUUAGCGCAAGCGAAGCUCUUGAUCGAAGCCCCGGUAAACGGCGGCCGUAACUAUAACGGUCCUAAGGUAGCGAAAUUCCUUGUCGGGUAAGUUCCGACCUGCACGAAUGGCGUAAUGAUGGCCAGGCUGUCUCCACCCGAGACUCAGUGAAAUUGAACUCGCUGUGAAGAUGCAGUGUACCCGCGGCAAGACGGAAAGACCCCGUGAACCUUUACUAUAGCUUGACACUGAACAUUGAGCCUUGAUGUGUAGGAUAGGUGGGAGGCUU
Molecule: ribosomal RNA, 2140 nt
Filed under: Escherichia coli
Lineage: Bacteria; Pseudomonadati; Pseudomonadota; Gammaproteobacteria; Enterobacterales; Enterobacteriaceae
Description: partial 23S ribosomal RNA
Rfam family: Bacterial large subunit ribosomal RNA
Source: RNAcentral